This is a non-coding RNA of Ceratotherium simum simum (southern white rhinoceros), 1077 nucleotides long. The record is from RefSeq and is a predicted model, not a curated record. Lineage: Eukaryota; Metazoa; Chordata; Mammalia; Perissodactyla; Rhinocerotidae.
AGGACAGUCAUUGAAAAGCUACACGGAAGAAGAUGAAUCUUUAAAGCAAUUGCAAGUAGUUCAUCAACCGUGGAUCUUGCCAAGCGACACAGAAAGUGAAGGUGUGGAAGCAGAACAAGAUAAACGUUCUGCUGAUCUUCUUCUCUGUGUUCCGUGCUCCUCUUGUCCUGCACUGGUCUACUCUGGUCUGUGAAGCAGACAGAAGAAGCUACAAGUGGUCCUUAAAGAAAUUGCAAUUAUUCAAAUCUUUAUGUAUAGUUCUAAUUUUACUUACUAUGUAUAAUCAUUUAGAGAAUGGUUAUUUUUAUAAUAUCAAUAAUAAACAAGUACUCUUGUAACCAGGGGGUGCCCGAGUGUGUCAUCAGAGAACACUAAUCCUGGCAAAGGUUUCUGGGGUGGUUAGGACACCCGCUGCCUUUUGACAUGGUUAGUGUCCUGGGUUUAGAUUACUUCAUACCUAGUUAUUAAGAUUACUCUUUGAUACAUUAAAUAUUGCCUGAUUCAAAUAACUUUGCUUAAAAUUUUUCUGUAUUUUAACUUGUUGAGGGUUUUCUACUUCUUAUAUUUUUAUAAUAUUUUCUCAUUUUUUAGAUUAAUGAACAUUAUACUUACCCACAUGUGCCAAGAUGUGCCAUUUAGGUCUCUCUAGGAGUUAGCUGUUUGGUAGCAUCACCUGCCAUCUGUGUUUUGUGCAGCAGCAAGAGGCAUAUUCUCCACCACUGCUCUUUCCUCCCAUUAUCUUCCCUGUUCCUAUCAAAACAAAUAAUUGAUAUGUUAAUUCAAUAAAGCAGAUCAGUAAGGAGUGAAAUGCAUGCCCCAAAGCAUAUGCAAUGAAAAUUUUUUGACCAUUUAUCCAAUUAUUGAACCCAAUUAAGAUUAUCCAUUUUAAAUUUGAUGUAUGCUUGCUUUGGAAUAUGUUAUGCAAACUGAUGCUAAGUGAAUGGAUCUAAGUAAAUCUAUUGAGUAUCUCUUCUGUCUGUUUUAUCUUAUUUGUCUUAAUCUAAGUUUGCUCUCUGGACCUUUAAGGCAUAUGGCUAAAUUAUAAAACUGCCUGUAUAACUGUCAAAGAAACAAACG